RNAcentral lists this ribosomal RNA (304 nucleotides) under uncultured bacterium. RNAcentral's name for it is "partial 16S ribosomal RNA". It matches the Rfam family "Bacterial small subunit ribosomal RNA", at positions 506 to 807 of the family's 1533-position model. The record is from RNAcentral.
CAGCAGUAGCCACGGGAAUACGGAGGGUGCAAGCGUUAAUCGGAAUUACUGGGCGUAAAGCGCACGCAGGCGGUUUGUUAAGUCAGAUGUGAAAUCCCCGAGCUUAACUUGGGAACUGCAUUUGAAACUGGCAAGCUAGAGUCUUGUAGAGGGGGGUAGAAUUCCAGGUGUAGCGGUGAAAUGCGUAGAGAUCUGGAGGAAUACCGGUGGCGAAGGCGGCCCCCUGGACAAAGACUGACGCUCAGGUGCGAAAGCGUGGGGAGCAAACAGGAUUAGAUACCCGCGUAGUCCCUGUCUCUUAUAC